This 427-nucleotide ribosomal RNA is filed under the name uncultured bacterium. RNAcentral describes it as "bacterial SSU rRNA". It matches the Rfam family "Bacterial small subunit ribosomal RNA", at positions 357 to 776 of the family's 1533-position model. The record is from RNAcentral.
GGGAAUCUUCAACAAUGGACGCAAGUCUGAUGGAGCAACGCCGCGUGAGUGAAGAAGGGUUUCGGCUCGUAAAGCUCUGUUGGUAGUGAAGAAAGAUAGAGGUAGUAACUGGCCUUUAUUUGACGGUAAUUACCUAGAAAGUCACGGCUAACUACGUGCCAGCAGCCGCGGUAAUACGUAGGUGGCAAGCGUUGUCCGGAUUUAUUGGGCGUAAAGCGAGUGCAGGCGGUUCAAUAAGUCUGAUGUGAAAGCCUUCGGCUCAACCGGAGAAUUGCAUCAGAAACUGUUGAACUUGAGUGCAGAAGAGGAGAGUGGAACUCCAUGUGUAGCGGUGGAAUGCGUAGAUAUAUGGAAGAACACCAGUGGCGAAGGCGGCUCUCUGGUCUGCAACUGACGCUGAGGCUCGAAAGCAUGGGUAGCGAACAGG